This 465-nucleotide ribosomal RNA is filed under the name uncultured Klebsiella sp. RNAcentral describes it as "bacterial SSU rRNA". It matches the Rfam family "Bacterial small subunit ribosomal RNA", at positions 338 to 795 of the family's 1533-position model. Lineage: Bacteria; Pseudomonadati; Pseudomonadota; Gammaproteobacteria; Enterobacterales; Enterobacteriaceae. The record is from RNAcentral.
CCUACGGGGGGCUGCAGUGGGGAAUAUUGCACAAUGGGCGCAAGCCUGAUGCAGCCAUGCCGCGUGUGUGAAGGAGGCCUUCGGGUUGUAAAGCACUUUCAGCGGGGAGGAAGGCGGUGAGGUUAAUAACCUCAUCGAUUGACGUUACCCGCAGAAGAAGCACCGGCUAACUCCGUGCCAGCAGCCGCGGUAAUACGGAGGGUGCAAGCGUUAAUCGGAAUUACUGGGCGUAAAGCGCACGCAGGCGGUCUGUCAAGUCGGAUGUGAAAUCCCCGGGCUCAACCUGGGAACUGCAUUCGAAACUGGCAGGCUAGAGUCUUGUAGAGGGGGGUAGAAUUCCAGGUGUAGCGGUGAAAUGCGUAGAGAUCUGGAGGAAUACCGGUGGCGAAGGCGGCCCCCUGGACAAAGACUGACGCUCAGGUGCGAAAGCGUGGGAAGCAAACAGGAUUAGAUACCCCUGUAGUC